AAGGAACUCGGCAAAUUGACACCGUAACUUCGGGAGAAGGUGUGCCGCUGGCGGUUAGUGACUUCGCGUCACGAAGCUGUCGGUGGUCGCAGUGAAAUGGCGGUUGUGACUGUUUACUAAAAACACAGGACUCUGCGAAGUCGUAAGACGACGUAUAGGGUCUGAUGCCUGCCCGGUGCUGGAAGGUUAAGGGGAUAUGUCAGCGCAAGCGAAGCAUUGAACCGAAGCCCCAGUAAACGGCGGCCGUAACAAUAACGGUCCUAAGGUAGCGAAAUUCCUUGUCGGGUAAGUUCCGACCUGCACGAGGGCAUAACAACAUCCGCACUGUCUCGACCAGGGACUCAGCGAAAUUACAUUGGGGGUGAAGAUGCCCUCUACCCGCGGAAAGACGGAAAGACCCCAUGAACCUUUACUGCAACUUGGCAGUGAUUUUCGGGUUGUUCUGCGUAGGAUAGGUGGGAGGCUUUGAAGCCGGGCUUCCGGGUUCGGCAGAGCCAACGUUGAAAUACCACCCUGAAUAAUCUGGAAAUCUAACCUGCGCCCAUGAUCUGGGCGAGGGACACUGCCUGGUGGGCAGUUUGACUGGGGCGGUCGCCUCCUAAAUUGUAACGGAGGCGUGCGACGGUUCCCUCAGGCUGAUUGGAAACCAGCCGUAGAGUGCAAACGCAUAAGGGAGCUUUACUGCGAGACUGACAAGUCGAACAGUUGCGAAAGCAGGUGUUAGUGAUCCGGUGGUACCACAUGGAAGGGCCAUCGCUCAUCGGAUAAAAGGUACUCUGGGGAUAACAGGCUGAUCGCGCCUGAGAGUUCACAUCGGCGGCGCGGUUUGGCACCUCGAUGUCGGCUCAUCGCAUCCUGGGGCUGGAGCAGGUCCCAAGGGUUUGGCUGUUCGCCAAUUAAAGCGGUACGCGAGCUGGGUUUAAAACGUCGUGAGACAGUUUGGCCCCUAUCUUCCGUGGGCGCAGGACACUUGAGGGGAGCUAUCCAUAGUACGAGAGGACCUGGAUGGACGAACCUCUGGUGCUCCGGUUGUCACGCCAGUGGCAUAGCCGGGUAGCCAUGUUCGGAACAGAUAACCGCUGAAGGCAUAUAAGCGGGAAGCUGGCCUCAAGACUUGGUGUCCCUGACGCAAGUCACUAAAGGCCCCUCGAAGACUACGAGGUUGAUAGGCUCGGUGUGGAAGCGCUGCGAGGCGUGGAGCUAACGAGUACUAAUAGGCCGUGCGACUUGACCUG
Molecule: ribosomal RNA, 1235 nt
Filed under: metagenome
Description: bacterial LSU rRNA
Rfam family: Bacterial large subunit ribosomal RNA
Source: RNAcentral